GACGAACCGUCCUAACGUUGUUCGGAAUCACUGGGCUUAAAGGGCGCGUAGGCGGGUCAGCAAGUCCGGGGUGAAAUCUUUCGGCUCAACCGGAAAAUAGCCUUGGAUACUGCUGGUCUUGAGGGAGGUAGGGGCCUGUGGAACUUCCGGUGGAGCGGUGAAAUGCGUUGAUAUCGGAAGGAACGCCGGUGGCGAAAGCGACGGGCUGGACCUCUUCUGACGCUGAGGCGCGAAAGCUAGGGGAGCAAACGGG
RNAcentral lists this ribosomal RNA (253 nucleotides) under uncultured bacterium. RNAcentral describes it as "partial 16S ribosomal RNA". It matches the Rfam family "Bacterial small subunit ribosomal RNA", at positions 524 to 776 of the family's 1533-position model. The record is from RNAcentral.